CACUUAUAGACUGAUUGUCAAGUUAUAAAAGAUCACUCUCAGUAAUUAGCGUCCACAAAAGAGAUGAUGUGUGAUAAACUAGACGAAUGCGAGAAUUUGGUAUAAUUUUCCCAAUUUUAAGCCAUCACUCUUGGUAUAAGCAAUCCUUAGAUAACAUCGAAAACUACGAUUCAAAGCCAUACUUGGAUAAAUAUUCCGACGUUAUGCUGCAUCCUGUUUAUGAUUAGUCCAUAUUCCUUCGGCUUGUAUCACAUGACAGAAGAUGUUGACAUGAUUUGUUAUUCAGUUUGGUAUAAGAGCGUUUAUCUUGUUGUGUGUUGUGACUAUCAACCUAUAGGCGACCUCUGGCUAAGAAAAAAGGGUAUUACGCCGAAUAGGUUGUAUUGAUGCGAGCACGACACACGGGUGUGGGAUUACCUCUAUUAAGCCCUUAUCCUGAUGUCACUCAGGAUUAAAUAAUAUUUGAAUUUUCAUGGCAACUUGUUGCGAACGCUACACUGGAUUAUCCACAUACCGCAUACACGAAAAUGUUUCACCUGGCUGUGUAGCACUGUUUACUUGCACUUAAGCGCUCAGCAUGACGCUUAACGUUGGGAAGGCUUUAUUGCUGUAAGCAUUCCACUGGAUUUGUGACACACCAUGUACCUGUACUUAAACCUUCAACCCGGUUGAUCACUGAUGGCUUUAAAAGAAAAAUUAACCCAAAAAUUAUUUUUUGAUAUUUGAUCCAACUUAACCAUAAAAUCAAGAAAAAAUAUGACUUUAUUCCUAAAUAUUGUGUUUUUUUCGUAACCCAGCUGCUGUUUUACCUCAAAGAAUUGCCUUUUUUUUACGAAACGCCUUUUGUACCGAUGAUCUGGGACUAAACGACAAAAAUGACGUAAAAGUUUUAAAAACAAGAAUUCGAAGCUCGCGUUUAGGUGAAAGAAUGGUACUCGAAUAAGUUUCAGCUGUCAUAUUUAUAAUUCUUUCUUUUUGCGUGUGAUUCACAUUUUUAAUCUAACCCAAACAUCUUCCUUCUUUUUUCCCCUAUGUACCCAAAAUACGAUCAAACAGCCGGUUAUGUUAAAAGAUUUUUCCCACAGCUAGAAUAUUAUACACAAGAACCACAAAGACAUUCACAAGAAAUAGAAUCCAUUUAACACUGAAACAAGAAUUACACAUUUUCCUUACCACGCACACUUAUCACUAUUACAAUAAGCUACGUACAACUUCACUGUUUCUUAUAAUAAAGAGUGUAUUUAACUUUUUUAGAUUUAAUUCGGAGGCACAUAAAGUUUGUUGCUAAGACACACAUUGAUUUAGACACAUACCGUAUUGAUCCGAAUAAGCGCCCUGGGCGCUUAUUAAAUUUUUGGAUUUUUUGCAUGGGCGCUUAAUCGAGUAGGGCGCUUAAAAAACACUGGGCGCUUAUAAAUCUUUCCUAAUUUUGUACAAAUUAAAGACAACGGUAAUUUUCAGUUAAAACAUAGAAAGAAAGGACUGUAUAGGAAAUUAGGCGCCCACUCUAUGUAACAUAGAAUAGAUGUUCAGACCAUAAAAUAUAUGUUUUUUUAUUCUCAAUAUAAGAAAGAAAAAUUUCAAAUAAGCGUCCAGUUUCUCAAGGCAGCUUUCGAUUAAGCACCCCCUUUUAUCAGGAAAUCGCUUAUUCGAGGGGAGCGCUUAAUAAGUGCUGGGUGCUUAUUGAACUUUGAGGAAAUUACCUGGGCGCUUAAAAAUUCUGGGUGCUUAAUCGGAUUAUUACGGUAUAUAACUUAUAUUUAACUCAUGUUGUAGGAAGAUACAGGUCAGAAACAUCGAUUCAGAGUGUGCUAGAUAUUGUAAAAUUUUUUAUGUAUAUUAGCUUAUAUUGAGUUCAUCUUCAAUUGAUUGAUUAAAACGAUAAAUAAAUACAUAGGCAGUUACAUUAUAAUCAUGGUAACCAACUGAUAACAUCGACAUUAAAAUACAUGUU
Long non-coding RNA from Hydractinia symbiolongicarpus, 1954 nucleotides. RefSeq lists it as uncharacterized. The record is from RefSeq and is a predicted model, not a curated record. The transcript has 5 exons. Lineage: Eukaryota; Metazoa; Cnidaria; Hydrozoa; Anthoathecata; Hydractiniidae.